AUCAAGUCAUAUGUGCAAUAUACAGACUUCCAGAUACUCAUAAACAUAUCCCUCGGCCAAUGGAAGGGGUUAUUUUACCCAAAAAGAUGGUCACAUUAGGUGAUAUGAAACCUGAUCCUGUACUAUGGCAUGAGCAAUCUAACAAGAAACCUUGGGAAGAUGGACGGAACCGCCACCGUGGUGCAAUGUCUGAUAGGGACCACCACCGUGAUGCAAUGUCUGAUAGGAACAUCCAAUGUGGUGCAAUGUCUGGUUUUCAGCUUGGAGAAGCUGCACGCAGAUUGGUGGUGAAUAGUUUGCAGAAGAAAGAAGAUAGGGGUGGAAAUG
This 327-nucleotide unclassified non-coding RNA is filed under the name Hevea brasiliensis (rubber tree). The record is from RNAcentral. Lineage: Eukaryota; Viridiplantae; Streptophyta; Magnoliopsida; Malpighiales; Euphorbiaceae.